GAUGAACGCUGGCGGCGUGCUUAACACAUGCAGGUCGAACGAAGCAUUUGCGACAGAUUUUUUCGGAAUGAAGUUGCUUAUGACUGAGUGGCGGACGGGUGAGUAACGCGUGGGUAACCUGCCUUGUACUGGGGGAUAGCAGCUGGAAACGGCUGUAAUACCGCAUAAGCGCACAAUGUUGCAUGACAUGGUGUGAAAAACUCCGGUGGUAUAAGAUGGACCCGCGUCUGAUUAGCUAGUUGGUGAGAUAACAGCCCACCAAGGCGACGAUCAGUAGCCGACCUGAGAGGGUGACCGGCCACAUUGGGACUGAGACACGGCCCAGACUCCUACGGGAGGCAGCAGUGGGGAAUAUUGCACAAUGGAGGAAACUCUGAUGCAGCGACGCCGCGUGAGUGAAGAAGUAAUUCGUUAUGUAAAGCUCUAUCAGCAGGGAAGAUAGUGACGGUACCUGACUAAGAAGCUCCGGCUAAAUACGUG
RNAcentral lists this ribosomal RNA (480 nucleotides) under uncultured bacterium. RNAcentral describes it as "partial 16S ribosomal RNA". It matches the Rfam family "Bacterial small subunit ribosomal RNA", at positions 28 to 507 of the family's 1533-position model. The record is from RNAcentral.